This 74-nucleotide transfer RNA is filed under the name Parasteatoda tepidariorum (common house spider). Its description in RNAcentral is "transfer RNA asparagine (anticodon GUU)". The record is from RNAcentral. Lineage: Eukaryota; Metazoa; Arthropoda; Arachnida; Araneae; Theridiidae.
GCCUCCGUUGCGCAAUUGGCUUGCGCGUUCGGCUGUUAUCCGAAAGGUUGGUGGUUCGAGCCCACCAGGGGGCG